GCCUGAUUAGCUCAGCUGGUUAGAGCGUCAUACUAAUAUCUUCAUCAUGAGAUAUCAAAUCAUGCGAAGGUCAACAGUUCAAUCCUGUUAUUGGGCA
RNAcentral lists this transfer RNA (97 nucleotides) under Cercophora newfieldiana. Its description in RNAcentral is "tRNA-Ile". The record is from RNAcentral. Lineage: Eukaryota; Fungi; Ascomycota; Sordariomycetes; Sordariales; Lasiosphaeriaceae.